Macadamia integrifolia is the source of this 1607-nucleotide long non-coding RNA. RefSeq lists it as uncharacterized. NCBI's taxonomy places the organism in Eukaryota, Viridiplantae, Streptophyta, Magnoliopsida, Proteales, Proteaceae. The record is from RefSeq and is a predicted model, not a curated record. The transcript has 3 exons.
UAUGGUCGAGUGACUUCCACAUUUGGGUUGAGGGAGCUCAGUUCUUUGAGCUACAUCUAUCAACCGGGAAGCAGAUGUGGGUCUUAAGGGUCUGGAGUUCAUACAUGGCAGUGGUGAUGAAAAGUUUGGAGGACGAAAAGAUGGAAGCGGCAUCGACGGAAGAGAUGGUGGAGGUGGAGAACAGAACAUUUUAGGAAGGAGAAGACCCAUUUUUAAGAAACGGUAAAUUUUGUUCCGCUUAGAAGUAUCCGUACACCUGCAGGAGUUAUAAAAUUCCGAUUAUAGACGAGGGUCGAGGGUUAUGGAGGUGGAUAACAGCGAUUUCAAGGCUGCCAGGGACGGAGCUCCUACCCGAGGGACGAUACGAAGUGAUAAUCCAUGGUUGGGAGAUCCAAUCACGCAAACGAUCCAUUCUCAACUCCGUGGCACUUCUGGUUUAUGAAGAAAAGCUUCAGAACACUUACCAGAGAUGGUUUUUGGAGAGAGUUCCUUAGUUCUUGUAUGACAAAAUACUGGAACUAAAAUUCAUUUCAAUGGAUGGAAGGAGGAAGCUUUACUUCCAUUUGAAGUCCCUGUAGCCGCAAAAUGGAAAUCCAGAAGCAACCCAUCUCAGUAGGUGAUACUUGACUAGGAUUAUACAUUCCCAACUCCAUAUUGAGGAAGUGAAACAGUUGAAAUAAUCCCAGACACGCAAGCUGAUGUGGAGCUGCAACUUCUUCUCCUCAGUGGACCUGGUUUCUCCCUUCUCCUCUGAUCUGGACAGCAGGUAAGAUUCAAGGUCGAACAGACAACAAAAUUGAGGUGAAUCUGCAAAAGACUGCAUACUUGACAAGGCUAGCAGGGAGGUCACUCAUCGUAAAUCCGAUUGAUGCCGUACUUCUUACUUUGUCUUUAACUGAAACACUAGAAGAAGACCCAGUUAUAUCUUGUGAUAAUUUUCCCAGCAGGGAUUUUAUCAGUGCAUGGUAUAGGAAAAUGGAUGGAUUAUGGAUGAAGACUUGAGAGAGAGACAAAGUACAGUGUUAGUACCUGCAGGAGAUACUGAUGAGUAGUUGGGAAGAGCAGAAACUCAUGAAGCCAGCCAUAUCUUCAGCUCCCAUUCUCUACAACCUUCUGAAGUUUGCCCAUCCAGACUCUGAAGCACAUGAAACACGAAUCUGUGUAUCUGAUGAUGGAGUAAAACACAGCCACGAGUGUGGGGCAGUCAGGUCAUGCCUCGGCAUAGCUUUAUCACUUUUUAUUUUUUUCUUUACUUUUUGGUAAAGUUAGCAAAUCUUUAACAGUAGUGGUUUACAAUUCGGGAGUCCGGAUCAGGACCUCAUUCUCAUCGGUGCAUACUAACCCUACAACCGCAUGGAUCAGGCCAUACCAGAGUUGAAUGAGAACCAUUCAACUAUUACUGAAAGCAAUGAAGAGCAUUAAACAACCCCAUGUGAGUAACCUAUGGUGUACCUACUGAGAGUCGAACUUAGGACAUUUGAGUUUAUGGUUCGUACUAAGUUUGUUGUUCAUCAACUGGGAUGCCUAUCCUCUCAUCAUGAACAACAUAUUAGAUCAUGUUGAAAUUUAUUGGCUAUGAUGACAAAUAGCCAGUCUUGUUUGCAACA